Molecule: ribosomal RNA, 388 nt
Filed under: uncultured eukaryote
Lineage: Eukaryota
Description: bacterial SSU rRNA
Rfam family: Eukaryotic small subunit ribosomal RNA
Source: RNAcentral
CAAUAGCGUAUAUUAAUGCUGCUGCGGUUGAAACGCUCGUAGUUGGACCUUGGGGCGGGUGCUGGGUUCGGCCUCCGGGCUGUAUCCCAGUAGCUGUCCUUUUGUCGUGAUCCGCCUCCAGGGCUUCGGCUUUGGGUUCAGGCGAUCUUCGACCGGUUACUUUGAAGAAAUUAGAGUGUUCAAAGCAGGCCAACGCCUUGAAUACAUUAGCAUGGAAUAACAGAAUAGGACUUUGGUCUUGUUGUGUUGGUUUCCGGGACUAGAGUAAUGAUUAAUAGGGAUAGUUGGGGGCAUUCAUAUUUGGUCGUCAGAGGUGAAAUUCUUGGAUUGACCAAAGAUGAACUACUGCGAAAGCAUUUGCCAAGGAUGUUUUCAUUAAUCAAGAACG